GGAAUAUUGGGCAAUGGGGGGAACCCUGACCCAGCCAUGCCGCGUGAGGGAAGUAGGCCCUACGGGUCGUGAACCUCUUUUGCCCGGGGACAAGGACGCGCACGAGAUGCGCGUUUGCGGGUACCGGGCGAAUAAGCAUCGGCUAACUCCGUGCCAGCAGCCGCGGUAAUACGGAGGAUGCGAGCGUUAUCCGGAUUCAUUGGGUUUAAAGGGUGCGCAGGCGGCGCGGUAAGUCAGCGGUGAAAGCCAGGGGCCCAACCCCGGAAGUGCCGUUGAUACUGCCGUGCUUGAAUGCGGUCGAGGCGGGCGGAAUGUGGUGUGUAGCGGUGAAAUGCAUAGAUAUGCCACAGAACGCCGAUAGCGGAGGCAGCUCGCCAGGCCUGCAUUGACGCUCGGGCACGAAAGCGUGGGGAUCGAACA
RNAcentral lists this ribosomal RNA (420 nucleotides) under uncultured bacterium. RNAcentral's name for it is "bacterial SSU rRNA". It matches the Rfam family "Bacterial small subunit ribosomal RNA", at positions 358 to 774 of the family's 1533-position model. The record is from RNAcentral.